CAUCUCUAAGCAGAAGUCAGUAUAGAAGUGUACACAUCUAAGUAAUUUUAAAUGCAGUUAAAUUCUAUCACAAAAACUAGGUGGUGUCCCCUAUCAUAUUUUCUUAUUAUAACCACUUGAAGUUGUGGGAUUUUAAGAUGACUUAGAGCCAGGGAAGACUAUUUUCUUUUGUUAUUAUUGGUAUCUCUUCAGUCUGUUGACAACUAAGGAAAGCAAAAAAGUUUGCUGAUCUCUGCUCUAGAAUAUCAAGGUGUGAGAAUAAGUUUGGGCAACUGGGAAGAUAAUUAAUUGAAGCCUCAUGAAGAUUGUGUUGAGAAUCAAGAACACCUGUGGCAGUACAACUUAGAUGACAGUAGACCAUAUAUGUCAGCAUGACUUAGUUGUUUUUUUACUGAAAAACUUUGCCCAGAAAAGCCAAGGCUAUAAGCCAAUAAAUAACUUUAUGGUUUACUUCAGAAAAUUCCCUUAGAACAAUUUAUCAAAGACAAUGGCCUGCUCACCUGGACAAACAGUUUACUCAUCAAUGAUGGUUUACUUAGCAAGACUCGCUUCAAGACUGGACUUCUCUGUGAUAGGCAAUCCUGAAAGAUUAUAACACAAUCUCUGUUAAAUUCCAUUCCAUUCACCACUUUGAAAGGCCUACUUAAACUACUCGA
Molecule: long non-coding RNA, 656 nt
Organism: Mustela erminea (ermine)
Lineage: Eukaryota; Metazoa; Chordata; Mammalia; Carnivora; Mustelidae
Exons: 3
Source: RefSeq, a predicted model, not a curated record